GUCCACGCCGUAAACGAUGAAUGCCAGUCGUCGGGUAGCAUGCUAUUCGGUGACACACCUAACGGAUUAAGCAUUCCGCCUGGGGAGUACGGCCGCAAGGUUAAACUCAAAGGAAUUGACGGGGCCCGCACAAGCGGUGGAGCAUGUGGUUUAAUUCGAAGCAACGCGCAGAACCUUACCAACCCUUGACAUGUGUAUCGCGGAUCCAGAGAUGGAUCUUUCAGUUCGGCUGGAUACAACACAGGUGCUGCAUGGCUGUCGU
This 262-nucleotide ribosomal RNA is filed under the name uncultured bacterium. Its description in RNAcentral is "partial 16S ribosomal RNA". It matches the Rfam family "Bacterial small subunit ribosomal RNA", at positions 793 to 1055 of the family's 1533-position model. The record is from RNAcentral.